AUGGCGACGCUGUCGGCGGGCGUGCUCCUGAAGCUGCUGGACGGGAUGAAGACGGGCGCGGCGAAGCCGGUGGGCGAGCACCGGACGGCGGUGCUGCAGGUGACGGACAUCGUGCCGGCGGAGAUGGACGAGGUGGACCUCUUCCCCAAGCACGGCCGCUUCUACGUCAAGGUCUCCGACUCCUCCCACUCCAUCUACGCCACGCUACCCCCCGCGCAGGCCGACCUCGUGCUCGCCAACAAGCUCAGCCUCGGCCAGUUCCUCCACGUCGACCGCCUCGACCCGGGCUCCCCCGUCCCCGUCGUCGUCGGCGCCAGGCCCAUCCCCGGGCGCCACCCGCUCGUCGUCGGCACCCCCGAGCCCCUCGCCAGGAAGCCCGCCGCGCCGCGCAGGGGCUCCUGGGGCCCCGAGAACCAUGGUGGCGCCACGGUGGCGUCGCCCAAGGUCGUCAGGCCCAUCGCGCUCUGCUUCGAGGAGAGGACGCCCGUCAAGGAGCGCCCCUCGCCGGCGCGCAGCUCGGUGUCUUCCGUCAGGAAGAGCACCAGCGUCAUGCCGAGGUUGGUGACACGCAGCCGGAGCUUCGUCGCCGACCGCGGCGACCCCCCUCCGCCGCCCAACAAGAUCCCCAAGAGCCCCUUGGCACCCGAGAAGAGCUCCAUGAGCUGCACGGCCGUGCGCACGAUGAGCAGGAGGCCCAGGGAGGAGGAGCCCUCCUCGCCGGUCUCCGACGACGACGCCGGCAGCACCGCCACGUCCUCCAAGCGGCGGCCCUCGUCGUCGGCCGCCCGCGUGCCCGUGCCGGUGAAGCUCAGCUCCCUCGGCAAGGAGGCCAUGGAGCAGCGGGAGCAGGCGCAGAAGGCGGCGCUGGAGGCGCUGCGCAACGCGUCGGCGACGGACAACGUCGUCAGGAUCUACAAGAUGUUCGCCGACGUGAGCAAGGCGGCGAGGCCGGACGCGCCCGCGGCCUGCUUCGACGGCUUCCUCAGCUUCCACCAGGAGGCCGCGCAGGCCGUGGCCGACAUCGAGUCCAUCCAGGCGGCCACCUCCAUGGCCGCUGCGGCCACCAGCGACGUGCUCGCCGAGGCGACGCCGGCGCCGAACGUGCUGCAGGAGAUCGCGCAGAACAGGGCCACGACGCCGGCGAGGCGGCGGGGCCUGCUCGGGUUCGGCGGCGUGUCCAAGUCGGUGUCCUUCGCGCCGGGCACGCUCCAGGACCCUUCGUCGCGGCAGGACGGCGGCGGCGCCCGGAGCUCCAGCGCCAGCAGGAAGUGCCUCGGGACGCCCGUCGACGGCGGCGACGACAAGAGCAAGAGGUCGUCCGCUCCUGCCGGAGUAGCAGUGGUGGCGGUGGCGCAGUCGCCUCUGGGGUCGUCGCUGAGGAUGGCGAGGCAGAUGCAGGCGGAGGCCGGGGGCUGGUUCAUGGAGUUCCUGGAGGCGGCGCUGGAGGCCGGGCUGAAGAAGAAGCGCACGAGCAGCAGUGGGAAGCCGGGGGCGACGGGGGCGCAGAGCUGCCCGCAGUCGCUGGUGCUGCGCGUGAUCAACUGGGUGGAGAUGGAGCAGAGCGGCGGCGAGAGCCGGAAGGCCGGGCACCCCAGGGCGGCCGCCAUCGCCAGGAAGCUUAGGAUCAAGGCCAAGAACCCCUGA
RNAcentral lists this ribosomal RNA (1644 nucleotides) under Triticum aestivum (bread wheat). Its description in RNAcentral is "partial small subunit ribosomal RNA". Lineage: Eukaryota; Viridiplantae; Streptophyta; Magnoliopsida; Poales; Poaceae. The record is from RNAcentral.